Molecule: ribosomal RNA, 323 nt
Filed under: Escherichia coli
Lineage: Bacteria; Pseudomonadati; Pseudomonadota; Gammaproteobacteria; Enterobacterales; Enterobacteriaceae
Description: bacterial SSU rRNA
Rfam family: Bacterial small subunit ribosomal RNA
Source: RNAcentral
GACUCCUACGGGAGGCAGCAGUAGGGAAUCUUCCGCAAUGGGCGAAAGCCUGACGGAGCAACGCCGCGUGAGUGAUGAAGGUCUUCGGAUCGUAAAGCUCUGUUAUUAGGGAAGAACAUAUGUGUAAGUAACUGUGCACAUCUUGACGGUACCUAAUCAGAAAGCCACGGCUAACUACGUGCCAGCAGCCGCGGUAAUACGUAGGUGGCAAGCGUUAUCCGGAAUUAUUGGGCGUAAAGCGCGCGUAGGCGGUUUUUUAAGUCUGAUGUGAAAGCCCACGGCUCAACCGUGGAGGGUCAUUGGAAACUGGAAAACUUGAGUGC